This 1771-nucleotide ribosomal RNA is filed under the name Halothiobacillus sp. Its description in RNAcentral is "partial 23S ribosomal RNA". It matches the Rfam family "Bacterial large subunit ribosomal RNA", at positions 774 to 2925 of the family's 2925-position model. The record is from RNAcentral. Lineage: Bacteria; Pseudomonadati; Pseudomonadota; Gammaproteobacteria; Chromatiales; Halothiobacillaceae.
CCGAACCGACACCCGUUGAAAAGGGUCCGGAUGACGUGUGGCUAGGGGUGAAAGGCCAAUCAAAUCUGGAGAUAGCUGGUUCUCCGCGAAAGCUAUUUAGGUAGCGCGUCGAUUGUAUUCUCCCGGGGGUAGAGCACUGCAUGGAUGAUGGGGGCCCACAGCCUUACUGAGUCUAAGCAAACUCCGAAUACCGGGAAGAACUGAUCGGCAGACACACGGCGGGUGCUAACGUCCGUCGUGGAGAGGGAAACAACCCUGACCAACAGCUAAGGCCCCCAAUUCGUGGCUAAGUGGGAAAGCAUGUGGGACUUCCAAAACAACCAGGAGGUUGGCUUAGAAGCAGCCAUCCUUUAAAGAUAGCGUAACAGCUCACUGGUCUAGUCAAGAGGUCCUGCGGCGAAGAUGUAACGGGGCUCAAGCCACGAGCCGAAGCUUUGGAUGCACAGUGAUGUGCGUGGUAGCGGAGCGUUCUGUGAUAUAGAACGCUGCCUCCUUACGCUCUUCGGAGCUAUUGGAGGCAAUGUUCUGACUGUGAAGCCGGGCUGUAAGGCAUCCGGUGGAGUGAUCAGAAGUGAGAAUGUUGACAUGAGUAGCGACAAACAGGGUGAGAGACCCUGUCGCCGAAAGUCCAAGGGUUCCUGCUUAAAGCUAAUCUGAGCAGGGUAAGCCGCGGCAAAAUGCCUCCGUAAGUUCGCGAGAAGGAGGCCCCAUUCGCACGCAAGUGUGGGUGGGGGGCACAAACCAGGGGGUGGCGACUGUUUACUUAAAACACAGGGCUGUGCGAAGCCGUAAGGCGACGUAUACAGUCUGACGCCUGCCCGGUGCCGGAAGGUUAAAAGGAGGUGUGCAAGCACCGAAUUGAAGCCCCGGUAAACGGCGGCCGUAACUAUAACGGUCCUAAGGUAGCGAAAUUCCUUGUCGGGUAAGUUCCGACCUGCACGAAUGGCGUAACGAACCUUUACUAUAGCUUCGCACUGGCAUCAGGAUUGUGAUGUGCAGGAUAGGUGGUAGGCUUUGAAACCAGAACGCCAGUUUUGGUGGAGCCUCCCUUGAGAUACCACCCUUCGCACUCUUGAUGUCUAACCGCGGCCCGUUAUCCGGGUCCGGGACCCUGCGUGGUGGGUAGUUUGACUGGGGCGGUCGCCUCCCAAAGUGUAACGGAGGCGCGCGAAGGUUGGCUCAGAGCGGUCGGAAAUCGCUCGUUGAGUGCAAUGGCAGAAGCCAGCCUGACUGCAAGACUGACAAGUCGAGCAGAGACGAAAGUCGGCCAUAGUGAUCCGGUGGUCCCGAGUGGAAGGGCCAUCGCUCAACGGAUAAAAGGUACUCUGGGGAUAACAGGCUGAUGAUGCCCAAGAGUCCAUAUCGACGGCAUCGUUUGGCACCUCGAUGUCGGCUCAUCUCAUCCUGGGGCUGGAGCAGGUCCCAAGGGUAUGGCUGUUCGCCAUUUAAAGAGGUACGUGAGCUGGGUUUAGAACGUCGUGAGACAGUUCGGUCCCUAUCUGCCGUGGGUGUAGGAUACUUGAGAAGAGUUGCCCCUAGUACGAGAGGACCGGGGUGAACGGACCACUGGUGGACCAGUUAUCGUGCCAACGGUAGUGCUGGGUAGCUAUGUCCGGACAGGAUAACCGCUGAAAGCAUCUAAGCGGGAAGCCCCCUUCAAAACUAGGUAUCCCUUGAGGGCCGUGGAAGACCACCACGUCGAUAGGCUGGAGAUGUAAGCGCGGCAACGCGUUCAGUUGACCAGUACUAAUUGCCCGAUUGGCUUGAUUUG